CUUCUAAUUGUGUGUGAAGUGCUCUACAGCUGUUUGAGAAAUCAAGGAAUCAUCCUGGCAGUAUCAGUCUCCAACAAUGCAUGUGUGGAUUGGUGCUUAAGUUUCCUUGAUUCAAUGACUAUGCAUAUUUUCUUAAUGUUCCUUCACCUUUAGUAGGAGCAAAUUUUUUUCAGCUAACAUUACAACAAGUCAGCUGUCCUUACUAUUCAGUGUUUUCAUGCAUUAAGCGUGAUAGUGCUUCGAUUGAGAAUAAUAUUAAUAUAGUAGCCUAGAACAGCAGAAGCACAUUCAUCUGUAAAAUAAUUAGCCUUGUUUGUAAAUAUCCUUGGAAGUGAUACCAUAAUUGUAUUAAAGAAAUGUUUAGUUUUUUAUUGCUGUGCAUUGAAAAUUGAAAUUACUUCAGUGUGUCUGCAAAGAAAGAAAAUGUAGAUUGUGUUAGCACCUAGUAAAACAAAGAGUAACCUUGAUACCCAGCGUGUGUGUAGUUUGGGGCCAGGUACUGUACCUGGGGCAGCAUUUAUCUUCUUCCCAGUGCUGAUGGGGUUUGCGAGGAACAGAACAUCAAUUUCCAAUAUGAGCUGAACAGGUUUGUUCAUGGGGGUAGGGAAAACAUUUUAAGUGGAAGCUGCAAGUCCUUGUCCAGGCAGUCCUGACCAGUUCAUCAGCGAGGAAGUGUUCGAUUCAGAAGUUCAUCUGACUAUGGAAAAAGGCAGUAGACACUCAGUAUACCAUUGCCAGUUUAUUUAACCUGAUUUAUGACUGCUGGGAGAAUGGAAUUUUAAAGCCAAUGAUGUCAGCUUUGUCUGCAUGCCAGUGGAGAUCCUUUAGCACAAAGCUUUCACUUCUCACCCUGACCCAUUCACAACAGCUAGCAGCGGAGACUUCCUUCAGGAAACCUUUUAUCUGUCUUGGACUCAUGACUUGCAGUUCUGGGAAUGUGGAGGCUGCAGCUGAAUCAAGCCAAAAUGUGAAUGUUUGGAGCACCUUCAUCACAGGAGGACUCGCGCACUGCUGAGAGCCUACAGCAGGAGUUACAGGGCUGUGCCAGCCCUGCAGCAUUCUUUAACACGAAACUGGGAGGCCAGCCCUGGAAAGGGAAAACGCAAGAGCCAUCCAAAUGGAACUGUUCAGAGGAGAGUUUAAUUUAAUUGCUCCGCUAAUCUAGUUGAUAUCUUCAUGCUACUUUAAUUCUGUUCUGGGGUGCGAGUGUUGUAGCUGGCUGACCACGCGGUCAUCAGGCUGAACGAAAAGCAAAGUUUAGUUUUAAUCUUUAGUUUCCGGAUUUUUCCUUUGAGACUUCGUUCAUGGGAGGGUCUGACAAAGUUGCUGUGAAUAUUGAUGCUGUGUAUAUGGCACAUUUUGUAAACGUGAAGCAAACCUGGAUGAAUGUUUUGUAUACCACGACAGUAGCAUUGUAAUCCUGCUCCUUUUUUAUUCUAAAUAAAUAAAUAAAGUACUUGUUUGUAAUGUCUGUAUUUUGAGGGACUGAAUUCCUGGGAGGGACAUGGGGUGCCAAGAGCCGGGACUGGCAAGAAACAGCAGCAUAGUUAAGCACUCAGUCCUUCAGCAUGAGACUUCACACUUAAAAAAAAAAAAAAAAAAAAGCUUAAUAAUAAAAAUCUCACUGUGGCCACUGUCACAGGACACCGGUGGUAAAGCCUGAGAGAGGACCUGGGGUCCGAUACUGCCCUUCAGCCCCACAACCAUUCCCUUCUCCUCGCCAGCAUAGGUUCAAUCCCUCUUUUCCCUGGCCUCCCAAACCGCUGCAUGGCAGCACUCCAGCUCCAGAAAACAAUUCUGCUAAAGAACCAACUUUCUUUGAUGAAAGUGGCCUGAUAUCACCUUUUCUUUUCUUCCGUAGAAUCAAACAGUUCUUGUUGCAGAAAGAGGAGAGUAACCCAGGAGAGCCUGCUUGUAGAAGGGAAUAGACAAUUUUCUGUACGAAUUACGUAUGACAAGGCAAGAGUUACCUUUCAGGUUCAGUUUUGGCAACCGUGACACAGACGGGCAGUUACAGUUCACCACAGUUAGAACCACAGUUCACUCCUACUUAAGAUCAACUCGGCUCCAGCUGCCCCUCUGGGAAGCAGAACUGAGGCACAGGAACCUGCCCAGCCUGUCUCUGCUCUAAACCAAACCUUAAGGACCUGUACGAACGCCUUCCUGGCCCUGCCUUCAUUAGAGUCCCGCAGCUUCUACAGCACCUUGUGAAC
This 2213-nucleotide long non-coding RNA is filed under the name Aquila chrysaetos chrysaetos. Its description in RNAcentral is "lncRNA (ENSACCG00020014336.1)". The record is from RNAcentral. Lineage: Eukaryota; Metazoa; Chordata; Aves; Accipitriformes; Accipitridae.